GGCUCAGGAUGAACGCUAGCGGCAGGCCUAAUACAUGCAGGCCGAACGGCAAGUCUGAUAGCAAUACUUAGCCAAGAGUGUCGUACGGGUGCGUAACACGUAUGCAACCUACCCUAUACAGGAGGAUAGCCUAGGGAAACCUGGAUUAACCCUUCAUAGUAUUAUUGGAUGGCAUCAUUUGAUAAUUAAAACUGAGGUGGUAUAGGAUGGGCAUGCGUCUGAUUAGUUAGUUGGCGGGGUAAUGGCCCACCAAGACGAUGAUCAGUAGGGGUUCUGAGAGGAAGAUCCCCCACACUGGCACUGAGAUACGGGCCAGACUCCUACGGGAGGCAGCAGUAGGGAAUAUUGGUCAAUGGAUGCAAGUCUGAACCAGCCAUGCCGCGUGCAGGAAGAAGGCCUUCUGGGUUGUAAACUGCUUUUGCCAGGGGAUAAAAUUUCCAUGCGUGGAAAACUGAAGGUACCUGGUGAAUAAGCCACGGCUAACUACGUG
RNAcentral lists this ribosomal RNA (490 nucleotides) under uncultured bacterium. Its description in RNAcentral is "bacterial SSU rRNA". It matches the Rfam family "Bacterial small subunit ribosomal RNA", at positions 21 to 507 of the family's 1533-position model. The record is from RNAcentral.